AUUAAAGACCAAGAAUGCUAUAAUAUAUAUAUAUAUAUAUAUAUUUAAAAUUAAUUUAGAAUGGAUCAGACACGAUCGUUAUGAAUUAUAAAAUACUAUUUUGCAGCUCUAUAUUCAAAAAUCAAGCUAGAGAUUUUAAUUAAACUAAUCUCAUCCCCACCACGUUGGUUGAUUACCAAUGCUAUAAUCUUUCUUUCGAUUCUCUAUAUAGUUCCAGAUUUCAAGCACUUAAUUUCUUGGCAGUUCACACCACACGCACCAAACAGAUGGCAAGCAUUGCACAAGUAGCAGGAGUAGAUGCAACAGGCCUAGCAAACAUGAUCAUAUCAGCAGCAAGAAACGCCACCACUCAUCGGAAAAACUGCGAGCAGCUGGCUGAGCAUGUGAAGCUGAUAGGUAACUUGCUAGAAAAGUUAAAAUCUACUGACCUGAUGAACUUGCCUGCUACGAAAGAACCACUGGAUGGCAUGGAAGAGGCUUUAAGAAAAGCACUUGAUUUGGUGGAGAGUUGCAAAGACAAGAGCUAUCUUUACAUGCUUGCUUUGGGUUGGAAUGUUGUUUAUCAGUUUAAGCAAGUCCAAGCUGAGAUUGAUCGGUAUCUUAAGCUUGUGCCCUUGAUUUCUCUUGUUCAUGAGUUCAGGAUGCAGAAUAUAGAGGAAGGCUUACAAGCCAUUGAAGGGGAUCAUAGAGAAUACACACUUGAGGAAGAGGAUAUAGCAGCUCAGAGUGUGAUAUUGAAACCUGACAGGACAAGAAAAGAUGCCAACAUAUUGGAGAAGUCAUUGUCUCGACGGUAUCCUGAAUUGGAAUUCCUUGAAGCUCUCCAAGAAGAGAAAGAGAAACUGCAUAUUGAGCUGCAAAGAUCAAGAACAAUCAACGAUACAAACCAAUGUCGCGUCAUAGAACAUCUCAUUGAUGUUACAGAAAAUGUUGUAAAUGCGAUUCCUGAAAAGAAGGUUACUAAACUUCUUGUCAAUGAACCAACUUACUUGAUUUCGGGGUACAUAAGCAACGCACAGUCCAGCUAUGGAGACCUGAAGCCUGAUGAUGAGAAGGGUCAAUCUGAGUGGCAGGUUGAUCUUUUUGAUUGUUGCAAAGAGCCUUGUUUGAGCUUGAACACUUGCAUCUAUCCCUGUGGCACAUUUUCAAGGAUUGCCAAUCUUGUGUCAGAAGGGGAAAUACCUCAUGAACGUGCUGUCAAUGAUGUAAUGGCAUAUGCCAUCUUCUGUGGAUGCUGCUGUUACACCUGCUGCUUUAGGAGGAGAAUUCGGCAAAUAUUUGACAUAGAAGUAAAUAUAUUUCUGCAUCAUGGAAAAUUGGAACACCUUCAAAUGUUAAUAUAGGUUUGAAUAAACGAAUUUAACAAAGCGGAAGCAGCAAAAAAUGAGGAGGUGCAUGUGAUGACUUCUUAACUCAUCUCAUGUGUUGCUGUUGCGCAAUGGUUCAAGAAUUGAGAGAGCUUGAAGUAAGAGGCUUUGAAGGUUGUCAAGAGAGAAAGAUGAUUCCUCCACCUUACCAAUACAUGAACCCUUGAACCAUCCGUCCAUCUCUGUACAAAACCUUUGUCAUCCAGGUUCUGCUGCAAUGCCAGAGGCACAAUGAGCGUUUUCUAGUUUUGCAA
Ricinus communis (castor bean) is the source of this 1621-nucleotide RNA transcript. It is a transcript of the gene named protein MID1-COMPLEMENTING ACTIVITY 1, with no coding region annotated. The record is from RefSeq and is a predicted model, not a curated record. The transcript has 7 exons. Lineage: Eukaryota; Viridiplantae; Streptophyta; Magnoliopsida; Malpighiales; Euphorbiaceae.